This 1166-nucleotide ribosomal RNA is filed under the name metagenome. Its description in RNAcentral is "bacterial SSU rRNA". It matches the Rfam family "Eukaryotic small subunit ribosomal RNA", at positions 627 to 1789 of the family's 1831-position model. The record is from RNAcentral.
CUCGUAGUUGAAUUUCUGGGAGGUUUUGAUGUGUGUUAUUUUUGAUGUUUACAUUUUGAAUAAUAUGCCGCCUUCCAUCUUGUGGAAAAACUAGUUGAUUUUUUUUAAACGAGAAAUUAAUUAGCCACUCCGUCACUGAGAGCAAAUUGGAGUGCUCAAAGCAGGCUUUAUAGCUUUGAACAUUUUAGCUUGGAAUGACAAGAUAUGACCUUUGUUUUAUUUUGUUGGUUAUGAAAUAAAAGUAAUGAUUAACAGGAACAGUUGCGGGGGUACUCGUAUUGAAAGGUCAGAGGUGAAAUUCUUGGAUUCUUUCAAGACGAGCGACUGCGAAAGCAUUUACCAAGGAUGUUUUCAUUAAUCAAGAACGAAAGCUCGGGGAUCGAAGAUGAUUAGAUACCAUCGUAGUCCGACGCCACAAACGAUGCCGGCUCGGGGUUGUUUUUCAUUCUAAUCAAAAACGAAUGAAAGCAGUACCGUAUGAGAAAUCAAAGUCUUUGGGUUCCGGGGGGAGUAUGGUCGCAAGGCUGAAACUUAAAGGAAUUGACGGAAGGGCACACCAGAGGUGGAGCCUGCGGUUUAAUUUGACCCAACACGGGGAAACUUACCAGGUCCAGACAUGAUGAGGAUUGACAGUUUGAAAGCACUUUCUUGAUUUCAUGGGUGGUGGUGCAUGGCCGUUCUUAGUUGGUGGAGUGAUUUGUCUGGUUGAUUCCGAUAACGAACGAGACGGGGGGAAUUUACUAGUUUUCGUAUGUAACUCACGUUACAUCAAACUUCUUUAUUCGACAACUUGGUUUUACCAAGAGGAAGCACCCCGCAAUAACUGGUCUGUGAUGCCCUUAGAUGUUCUGGGCUACACGCGCGCUACAAUGACGAAUUCAACGAGUUUUUUUACAUUCCUUAUCCGGAAGGAUGUGGGUAAUCUUUUCAAUGUUCGUCGUGAUGGGGCUAGAUUUUUGCAAUUAUUAAUCUUCAACGAGGAAUCUCUAGUAUGUGCAAGUCAUCAGCUUGCGCAGAAUGCGUCCCUGCCCUUUGUGCACACCGCCCGUCGCACCUACCGAUUGGACGAUCCGGCAAGACGUUUGGAGUUGUGAUUUUUUGAUUAGUAAUAGUUGAGAGAUUAUGACAAAGCUCUUCAAACCUUAUCGUCUGGAGGAAGGUGAAGU